GAUGAACGCUGGCGGCGUGCCUAAUACAUGCAAGUCGAGCGAACAGACGAGGAGCUUGCUCCUCUGACGUUAGCGGCGGACGGGUGAGUAACACGUGGAUAACCUACCUAUAAGACUGGGAUAACUUCGGGAAACCGGAGCUAAUACCGGAUAAUAUAUUGAACCGCAUGGUUCAAUAGUGAAAGACGGUUUUGCUGUCACUUAUAGAUGGAUCCGCGCCGCAUUAGCUAGUUGGUAAGGUAACGGCUUACCAAGGCAACGAUGCGUAGCCGACCUGAGAGGGUGGUCGACCACACUGGAACUGAGACACGGUCCAGACUCCUACGGGAGGCAGCAGUAGGGAAUCUUCCGCAAUGGGCGAAAGCUUGACGGAGCAACGCCGCGUGAGUGAUGAAGGUCUUCGGAUCGUAAAACUCUGUUAUUAGGGAAGAACAAAUGUGUAAGUAACUAUGCACGUCUUGACGGUACCUAAUCAGAAAGCCACGGCUAACUACGUG
Molecule: ribosomal RNA, 497 nt
Filed under: uncultured bacterium
Lineage: Bacteria
Description: partial 16S ribosomal RNA
Rfam family: Bacterial small subunit ribosomal RNA
Source: RNAcentral